RNAcentral lists this ribosomal RNA (491 nucleotides) under uncultured bacterium. RNAcentral's name for it is "bacterial SSU rRNA". It matches the Rfam family "Bacterial small subunit ribosomal RNA", at positions 28 to 507 of the family's 1533-position model. The record is from RNAcentral.
GAUGAACGCUAGCUACAGGCUUAACACAUGCAAGUCGAGGGGCAGCAUGAAAGUAGUUUGCUACUUUUGAUGGCGACCGGCGCACGGGUGCGUAACGCGUAUCCAACUUUCCCGUUACUCUUGGAUAGCCUUCCGAAAGGGGAGAUUAAUACAAGAUGGUGUUUCACUUUCGCAUGUUAUUGAAACUAAAGAUUUAUCGGUAACGGAUAGGGAUGCGUGACAUUAGAUAGUUGGCGGGGUAACGGCCCACCAAGUCCACGAUGUCUAGGGGUUCUGAGAGGAAGUUCCCCCACACUGGAACUGAGACACGGUCCAGACUCCUACGGGAGGCAGCAGUGAGGAAUAUUGGUCAAUGGCCGAGAGGCUGAACCAGCCAAGUAGCGUGAAGGAUGAAGGUUCUAUGAGUUGUAAACUGCUUUUGUAUGAGGGUAAAUGUAGGUACGUGUACCUAUUUGAAAGUAUCAUACGAAUAAGGAUCGGCUAACUCCGUG